This 870-nucleotide ribosomal RNA is filed under the name uncultured bacterium. RNAcentral describes it as "bacterial SSU rRNA". It matches the Rfam family "Bacterial small subunit ribosomal RNA", at positions 21 to 873 of the family's 1533-position model. The record is from RNAcentral.
GGCUCAGGACUAGCGCUGGCGGUGUGUCUUAGACAUGCAAGUCGGGCGGGAUACAUUGUUGUAGCAAUACACUGGUGUGUCUAGCGGCGAACGGGUGAGCAAUACAAGGGCAACUAUCCCUAAGGAGGGGCACAACCCACCGAAAGGUGGGCUAAUACCCCAUGUUUUGCGGCGGAGGCAUCUCUGCCGUAACAAAGGCGCCGCAAGGUGCCGCCUCUGGACAGGCUCUUGUCCUAUCAGCUUGAUGGCGGGGUAACGGCCCACCAUGGCAGCGACGGGUAGCCGGCGUGAGAGCGUGACCGGCCACAGGGGAACUGCGAUACGGUCCCCACUCCUACGGGAGGCAGCAGUCUAGAAAUUUGGGCAAUGGGCGAAAGCCUGACCCAGCGACACCGCGUGGAGGAUGAAGUCUUUCGGGAUGUAAACUCCUGACAGGCGGAGCGAUGCCGUUUCGGAGUAACUGCCGAGACGGUGACGGUACUGCCAAAGGAAGCCCCGGCUAACUACGUGCCAGCAGCCGCGGUAAUACGUAGGGGGCAAGCGCUGUCCGGAUUCACUGGGCGUAAAGGGUGUGUAGGCGGACUGGCGUGUCGGUGGUGAAAGCCCUCGGCUUAACCGAGGAAGUGCUGCCGAAACUACCAGUCUUGAGGACGGAAGAGGAAACUGGAACUUCUGGUGUAGCGGUAAAAUGCGUAGAUAUCAGAAGGAACGCCGAUAGCGAAGGCAGGUUUCUGGGACGUUCCUGACGCUGAAACACGAAAGCUAGGGGAGCAAACAGGAUUAGAUACCCUGGUAGUCCUAGCUGUAAACGAUGUACAUUAGGCGUGGGGAUUUUCCCCGUGCCGGAGCCAACGCGUUAAAUGUACCGCC